AUUUUCUUAGUAUAAUUAGUACUAAUGACUUCCAAUCAUUAAGCCCUGGUUAAACCCCGGGAGAAAGUA
Molecule: transfer RNA, 69 nt
Filed under: Telmatobius vellardi (Vellard's water frog)
Lineage: Eukaryota; Metazoa; Chordata; Amphibia; Anura; Ceratophryidae
Description: tRNA-Gly
Rfam family: tRNA
About the family: Transfer RNA (tRNA) molecules are approximately 80 nucleotides in length. Their secondary structure includes four short double-helical elements and three loops (D, anti-codon, and T loops).
Source: RNAcentral